RNAcentral lists this ribosomal RNA (300 nucleotides) under uncultured beta proteobacterium. Its description in RNAcentral is "bacterial SSU rRNA". It matches the Rfam family "Bacterial small subunit ribosomal RNA", at positions 1029 to 1335 of the family's 1533-position model. Lineage: Bacteria; Pseudomonadati; Pseudomonadota; Betaproteobacteria. The record is from RNAcentral.
UGAACACAGGUGCUGCAUGGCUGUCGUCAGCUCGUGUCGUGAGAUGUUGGGUUAAGUCCCGCAACGAGCGCACCCCUUGUCUCUAGUUGCUACUAAAGGGCACUCUAAAAAGACUGCCGGUGACAAACCGGAGGAAGGUGGGGAUGACUUCAAGUCCUCAUGGCCCUUAUGGGUAGGGCUUCACACGUCAUACAAUGGUGCAUACAGAGGGUUGCCAAGCCGCGAGGGGAACCCAAUCCCAAAAAAUGCAUCGAAUUCCGGAUCGUAUUCUGCAACUCGACUACGUAAAGUUGGAAUCGC